UUACGUCUGCAGUAAAAGAGGAUGGGAACCUUCGAAGGAGGUUUGCGCCGAGCGCAGCGAGACAACGUUGCGUAAGCAACGGCCCGCAGGGGAAUAAUCCUCUCUCGCCGACCA
This 114-nucleotide small RNA is filed under the name Tatumella punctata. RNAcentral describes it as "RtT sRNA". It matches the Rfam family "RtT RNA". Rfam says of the family: This family represents a bacterial cis-regulatory element known as RtT RNA. The exact function of RtT is unknown although it is thought that it may be involved in changing the cellular response in relation to amino acid starvation. RNAcentral also lists the same sequence under 3 other names. The record is from RNAcentral. Lineage: Bacteria; Pseudomonadati; Pseudomonadota; Gammaproteobacteria; Enterobacterales; Erwiniaceae.